UGGCAUUCUUGGGUCUAUCAGCUUUGCUU
This 29-nucleotide non-coding RNA is filed under the name Mus musculus (house mouse). The record is from RNAcentral. Lineage: Eukaryota; Metazoa; Chordata; Mammalia; Rodentia; Muridae.